UACGUAGGGUGCGAGCGUUGUCCGGAAUUACUGGGCGUAAAGAGCUCGUAGGUGGUUUGUCGCGUUGUCCGUGAAAACUCACAACUCAAUUGUGGGCGUGCGGGCGAUACGGGCAGACUGGAGUACUGCAGAGGAGACUGGAAUUCCCGGUGUAGCGGUGGAAUGCGCAGAUAUCGGGAGGAACACCCGUGGCGAAGGCGGGUCUCUGGGACGGUACUGACGCUCAGGCACGAAAGCGUGGGGAGCAAACAGG
This 253-nucleotide ribosomal RNA is filed under the name uncultured bacterium. RNAcentral's name for it is "partial 16S ribosomal RNA". It matches the Rfam family "Bacterial small subunit ribosomal RNA", at positions 524 to 776 of the family's 1533-position model. The record is from RNAcentral.